RNAcentral lists this long non-coding RNA (549 nucleotides) under Elaeis guineensis (African oil palm). RNAcentral describes it as "long non-coding RNA (EGUI_LNC018741)". The record is from RNAcentral. Lineage: Eukaryota; Viridiplantae; Streptophyta; Magnoliopsida; Arecales; Arecaceae.
GGUCGACGGGAGGGCUUGUGGACCGCGUGGACAUUUUCCAUGAGUUUCUCAUGGUCCACGACACUAUUUCAUAGACCGGAGCACGAUCGAAGGGCCCAGGUGACUCCCGAUCUUGAUCCGACGGUCUGGGACGUGAUUUGGGUUGAUUAAGGACUCCUAAACCUAAUCUAAACCCUGUUAAGCCCUUUAAAAACCCUAUGAGGCAAUAGAGAAGGAGCGUGGUUCGGAUUUUUGCGUCGUACGGAGCCGUACGGAACCCAAGAGAAGAGAGAGGCGGAAGCACUGAGAGAGAAGGAGCAGGAGGCUCCUGGACAACGGUCGUCAGGUACUUCAGGGGUUCAGGGGUCUUCCAAGAGAGAGAGAGCUUUUGUGAAGGAAACUUCUAGUGAGAGAGAAUUGGGUGUACAAAAGUUGAGAGUGAGGUCUCCUCUUGUAAAAUUUUUUUUUCUUAGUGAAGUUUGCAUGCCCCAUGGAGGCGAGCCCUUUUGUGGCUGAUCCACGUAUUUUGAUUAUUUUGUUUUGUUUCUUCUUUCUUCCUGUUGCAUCNNN